Gavialis gangeticus (Gharial) is the source of this 131-nucleotide long non-coding RNA. RefSeq lists it as uncharacterized. Lineage: Eukaryota; Metazoa; Chordata; Crocodylia; Gavialidae. The transcript is spliced from 3 exons. The record is from RefSeq and is a predicted model, not a curated record.
AGUGACGCUAAUGCGCACUAGACUAAUUCUAGUCUUAGCACACUAGCACAGCUUUUGCCGUGACAUGCUAACGCGCAGUAGAAUUAGCCUACUGUGCAAUUAGUGCCUCAUGUAGAUACACCCACUGAGCU